Molecule: ribosomal RNA, 467 nt
Filed under: uncultured bacterium
Lineage: Bacteria
Description: partial 16S ribosomal RNA
Rfam family: Bacterial small subunit ribosomal RNA
Source: RNAcentral
GACGAACGCUGGCGGCGUGCUUAACACAUGCAAGUCGAACGGAAGGGCCCUGCUUUUGUGGGGUGCUCGAGUGGCGAACGGGUGAGUAACACGUGAGUAACCUGCCCUUGACUUUGGGAUAACUUCAGGAAACUGGGGCUAAUACCGGAUAGGAGCUCCUGCUGCAUGGUGGGGGUUGGAAAGUUUCGGCGGUUGGGGAUGGACUCGCGGCUUAUCAGCUUGUUGGUGGGGUGGUGGCUUACCAAGGCUUUGACGGGUAGCCGGCCUGAGAGGGUGACCGGCCACAUUGGGACUGAGAUACGGCCCAGACUCCUACGGGAGGCAGCAGUGGGGAAUAUUGCACAAUGGGCGGAAGCCUGAUGCAGCAACGCCGCGUGCGGGAUGACGGCCUUCGGGUUGUAAACCGCUUUCGCCUGUGACGAAGCGUGAGUGACGGUAAUGGGUAAAGAAGCACCGGCUAACUACGU